Molecule: transfer RNA, 85 nt
Filed under: Exutisphaerella laricina CBS 326.52
Lineage: Eukaryota; Fungi; Ascomycota; Dothideomycetes; Mycosphaerellales; Mycosphaerellaceae
Description: tRNA-Val (TAC) (tRNA-Val-TAC-1-1)
Rfam family: tRNA (bases 7-76)
About the family: Transfer RNA (tRNA) molecules are approximately 80 nucleotides in length. Their secondary structure includes four short double-helical elements and three loops (D, anti-codon, and T loops).
Source: RNAcentral
GUUUGUGGUUUCGUGGUGUAGUGGUUAUCACGUUUCGUUUACACCGAAAAGGCCGCGAGUUCGUAAGUCAAAAUCGCACAAAACA